GUAGGAGCUGGAGGUGGGUCUGGCCCGCUGCAUCGGGCCAGGCUCACCCCUCCGUUCCCUACAG
Molecule: microRNA precursor, 64 nt
Filed under: Mus pahari (shrew mouse)
Lineage: Eukaryota; Metazoa; Chordata; Mammalia; Rodentia; Muridae
Description: microRNA 7080 (MGP_PahariEiJ_G0007215.1)
Source: RNAcentral